UCGGGUGUGGUGUACGGCGCACCGCGAGCUUGCCUAGCGUGGUCCCGUACGGGUGAAACUCGCAGGACGGGGUUCGAUUCCCCGCGCCCGAA
Non-coding RNA from Mycena metata, 92 nucleotides. The record is from the annotation of a GenBank genome assembly. Lineage: Eukaryota; Fungi; Basidiomycota; Agaricomycetes; Agaricales; Mycenaceae.